UGCGAGUGGUGCAGCAAUGCGGGCCCAGUUUGCCAGCGGGAGAUUAACAGAUCUGCAGCGUGUGAAUCUGCUGGAGGAGCUGCUGCAGGCUCAUGAGCGCGCCGUGGAGAAGCGCAAGGCUGAGGCCAGGGAAUCCUUGAUGAAGGAUGCCCAGCAAAUACGGGAAGAAAGAAUGACUGCCACGAAAGAUGAGCUGGAUCAGGAGAAGCAGCUCAUUGCCCAGCUGGAACAGCAGCUGCAGGCUGGGAGAAAGGAGAUCAAGGUGCUGCGCCAGGAAAAAGAGCGCCUGCAACAGGAGCGGGAGGAGCUGGAGUUGAAGAGAGCCUGCCUCCAGCUGCUGCUUUUUGCCGUGCUGGGCUGUGCAGUGCUGUACGCCCAGCACUAUGACCAGGAGCUUUUCUAUCGGCUCCUGCUGCGAGUGCUGCCCCGAGCAAUGUACGCCUCCCUGGCGUACUUUGCGAGCAGGAGCCUGCGUGUGGUCUGUGAUGGGCUGCUGCCCAUCUGACCGCCCCAUCUCAGUCCCCCCUCCCAGCCUGGGGCUGCGCGGUGGGGCGCGGCGAGAGGGCUCUGUCCCCACGAAAGGGGCCUCCCCUGUGCUCCUGCCCCCAGGGGCGCACAGGCACAGCUGUGGGGCAGUGCCGGAAGGCGGCUGAGUGCCACCACUUUGGACUUACAAAUAAGUUUGUACUGUCGUCGUGAGUCGUCAUCAACUGAACACCACCACCUCCGACGACCCAUCAGACUGAAGAUCUGCACCUGACACCAGGAUGUGGCUUCCUCGAUUCUUUGAGUCUUCAUAGCAGCCAUUUCCUAUGACUGGUUACCUCGAAGGCUUAUGAAUUGUAAUUAGCCCAUUAGGCAAUGUUACC
This 869-nucleotide long non-coding RNA is filed under the name Gallus gallus (chicken). RNAcentral's name for it is "lncRNA (ENSGALG00010000165.1)". The record is from RNAcentral. Lineage: Eukaryota; Metazoa; Chordata; Aves; Galliformes; Phasianidae.